This 443-nucleotide ribosomal RNA is filed under the name uncultured bacterium. RNAcentral describes it as "bacterial SSU rRNA". It matches the Rfam family "Bacterial small subunit ribosomal RNA", at positions 97 to 518 of the family's 1533-position model. The record is from RNAcentral.
GGCGCACGGGUGAGUAACGCGUAGAUAACCUGUCUUCAUGUCUGGAAUAAUACGCCGAAAGGGGUACUAAUACCGGAUAUUCUUGCUUUUCAUAAGUUAUGCAAGCAAAGGUGGCCUCUGCAUAUGCUACUGCAUGAAGAGGGGUCUGCGUACCAUUAGCUAGUAGGUGGGGUAAUGGCCUACCUAGGCGACGAUGGUUAGCGGGUCUGAGAGGAUGAUCCGCCACACUGGCACUGGAACACGGGCCAGACUCCUACGGGAGGCAGCAGUGAGGAAUAUUGCGCAAUGGGGGAAACCCUGACGCAGCGACGCCGCGUGAGUUGAGGAAGGCCUUCGGGUCGUAAAGCUCUGUCAAGAAGGAAAGAAGUGUACAAUGGCUAAUACCUGUUGUAUUUGACGGUACCUCUAAAGGAAGCACCGGCUAACUCCGUGCCAGCCGCGGC